Molecule: long non-coding RNA, 809 nt
Organism: Leucoraja erinaceus (little skate)
Lineage: Eukaryota; Metazoa; Chordata; Chondrichthyes; Rajiformes; Rajidae
Exons: 3
Source: RefSeq, a predicted model, not a curated record
UUGUGAAGCACUGCCCCUCCUGGCUAAUCUUUAUUCUCGAUCGCCUUACCCUUCGUGAAAUCUUGCCGUACACACACCAGAGUGCUCCAGGAGACCACCGUAAGCCCAGCUGUCCGGCGGGACCAGUAUUAGCUUGACUGAAAGACCUUCCUUCACUUGAGGAUUGAGACUGGAAGACAUUCUUCAUGCUGCAUGCGAUGUGGCAGAGAUCAGCAGCCUGGGAUUAGCACCAGCCUAGGAGGCUGAGAGUGACCAUGACCCUCAUCUCCAGACACAAAACGGAUAAGACACCUGAGAAUGUAUUGGAAAUCACAGACCCGUGGCCAGAAGAGACGUGUUGGGGAAAACAAAAAUGUACCAAAGAAAUGCGGAUACCAAUUUUCUGACUGCUGGUAACAUAGCAAAAAUGGGCACUAAAUUACUCUGCUCCAAGUUAGCUCGAUUUUCAACAGCACUGGGCUAUUUAUGUUUUUGUCGUUGUGUGUACAAAUUCCUGGACUGAUAUCUUCGCGUAAAAUUCAAGAUUGUUUGCGAUGAGUAGAUGUCUGCUAUUAGGAUAAGGAGCUGCGUUAAAUGUCAGUCACUGAAUGUCAUUGAAGUGACAGCUUAAAUGUCACUAACUACUAAUGUCAAUGUCUUCCAAUUAACUACUAACCACUAAAGCUGUCAUUAGUUGAGUUAAAUCAUUACUUCAGAUUAACACUAUUCUUGACCUCCUAAGAAACCUUUUUAGAGUCUAAGGAAACUGGGAAAGGGUUUCCUAUAUCAAGAUGUAGCCUACCACAAGUGCACCGGCACGGAGGCCAGGA